This 483-nucleotide ribosomal RNA is filed under the name uncultured bacterium. Its description in RNAcentral is "bacterial SSU rRNA". It matches the Rfam family "Bacterial small subunit ribosomal RNA", at positions 29 to 507 of the family's 1533-position model. The record is from RNAcentral.
AGUGAACGCUGGCGGCAGGCCUAACACAUGCAAGUCGAGCGGCAGCGCGGGGGCAACCCUGGCGGCGAGCGGCGGACGGGUGAGGAAUUCGUCGGAAUCUGCCUUUUGUGGGGGAUAACGUAGGGAAACUUACGCUAAUACCGCAUACGACCUACGGGUGAAAGUGGGGGACCGCAAGGCCUCACGCAGAAAGAUGAGCCGACGACCGAUUAGCUAGUUGGUGGGGUAAAGGCCCACCAAGGCGACGAUCGGUAGCUGGUCUGAGAGGAUGAUCAGCCACACUGGGACUGAGACACGGCCCAGACUCCUACGGGAGGCAGCAGUGGGGAAUAUUGGACAAUGGGCGCAAGCCUGAUCCAGCCAUGCCGCGUGUGUGAAGAAGGCCUUCGGGUUGUAAAGCACUUUUGUCCGGAAAGAAAUCCUUCAACUUAAUACGUUGGGGGGAUGACGGUACCGGAAGAAUAAGCACCGGCUAACUUCGUG